GGAAUCUAUUCUAUUCAGCACACUAACAAAAAAAAACCCUAAUUUGAAACAUAUCUUAGAAAUUAGGUUUUUUUUUGUUAGUGUGUUGAAUAAAGUGGAUUCUUUGUACCCACAUGCUUUAUUCCUUGUUUAUUUCAUGGUUGAGCAUAGGGGGUAAGUCUAAAACUGUUAUUUCUCUGCGUUUUUGGAGAAUAAAAUGGAGGGUAGGACGAAAAAUGCAACAAAAAUGAUAAUUGAAGGAACGUUUUGUUCUGUUUUAAAAUGGCAGGACCAGUUUCGUG
RNAcentral lists this long non-coding RNA (281 nucleotides) under Medicago truncatula (barrel medic). RNAcentral's name for it is "long non-coding RNA (MTRU_LNC001611)". Lineage: Eukaryota; Viridiplantae; Streptophyta; Magnoliopsida; Fabales; Fabaceae. The record is from RNAcentral.